RNA transcript from Microplitis mediator, 5423 nucleotides. RefSeq lists it as uncharacterized. The transcript has 8 exons. The record is from RefSeq and is a predicted model, not a curated record. Lineage: Eukaryota; Metazoa; Arthropoda; Insecta; Hymenoptera; Braconidae.
AAUAGUAAUCAAUCAAUCAAGUUGCGACUUUGGUUCACGCCACCACAAACUACACCCACGUCUGAAAUCGUCAUGUUUCAUCCCAUGUUUCACAAUACACUAUUUUUUAAAAAUAUUUUGACGAAAGUUUUAUUAAUAAUAUUGUAAGUACAUAGAUUCAAUGUCACGAGUAUUAUGAUAUCUUUAUCUAUAUCAUAAUUCACAACAUAUUCUACAUUGUAGUCUAUGAAUUCAAUUUUACGGAAAUAAGUAUUAUAAAUAGAAAUUGCAAGCUUUCAGUUAUCGCUUCCUGGCGUGACAGAUACGAAUUGGCGUAACAUGCGAGUAAAGCGGUCUCAAAAUGUGUUAGAAAAUAGAUGAUGUUUCUGAACUUAUUGUAUACUACCUAACAAUAAUCGAUUAUUAUUGCAUGCAUGUUACGAGAAAAUACUAAUCUAUAUUUUCGCCUUCUUCUGUUAAAUAUUUACACUAGUAUCAUUGUUUUCAUUUCCUUUUAAUAGUAUCGAUUUUCAUUUCUUGUAUGAAAAAACAACUUCGAGUUCACAUCUAAUGUUACCAAGAUGAUGGAAGACAGGAUCACUUCUAACACGUAAUAAUACGAUAAAAAAUUUUGACGCAUGUCAGUUCAUUUUAUGAAACAUAAUACAUGCACGUUAUUUAGAUAAACGAGGGUGAAUAAUUCACUUGCGUCGUCGCCUCUUUCUUCAUUCUCCAAUAGUUCAAAUCUAGAACCCAACAGGCUCGUGACUCAAAGUGCUGGUAGUUACGAUUAAAUCACGCAUUUAUCAUGGCUAUCAGUUUUUGGAAAUGCUUGGAAAAAAAAGAAAGUAGAGCAAAACUUCGACAACGUACCAUAAAUCUACAUAAAAAAUUGGUUUUUGAGCAGAGUCCAAAAUAUCAAAAUUCAUUUCGUCUUGAUGCCCAUCAACCAUUCCGAGUUGAUCCUGUGGAUCAAAUAGUUAAAACAGUUAUGGGAUAUCGUUUUGAAGAUAUUACAUACGAUGUUAAUGCUGCUCCAGCUGUAUGUAGUCAAGUAGCUGCAGAAAUUAGAAAAAAACUUAUGAAAUUGCAGUUUGAUAGGUACAAAAUUGUUGUGGUCGUGACAAUGGUAGAAAAAACAAGUCAAUCAGUAAAUUCUGUUAUUGGCUUCUUAUGGGAUAUUAAGAAAGAUAAUUACUCUACAUAUACUCUUGAAACUCAAACUUUUCUGGCUUAUUGCUUUGUUGGCGGUAUUUAUCAUGAAUAAAUCUAUAUACAUAAAACAUAUGAUUGAAUUUAAAUUAUAAUUUUGCAAUAAAAUAAUACAAUAAGAAAUAAUUUUUAAUGAAUAAAUUAUUUUAUGAUGUCUUAAAGUUAAAAAUUGUUAGCAAUAUCUAUUGUUUAUGAAUUUGUAUAUUUUAAUAGUUACGAAAGAUUUUUGUUACUUUUAAUAUUUUAAUGAAUUUUUAUUUUUAACCCUAUAAAUUUCGGCCUUGAAACCCCACUACAAUUUUGAUUUAAAAGCUGGAAGAGUAGAGAGCACUUAGGCGAUGGACGCCAGUGCCGUAAAACCAGCGAAGGAGGACAGAAAAGUUGUCACAAGUUGACACAAACACAGCUAUACUCAGAAUUUCUUUACUCAAGCGCCGUAAUGACAUCUUUACUCAGCGACUACUAUAUUCAAAUAUUACUUUACUCCAUAAUAUUGGGGGUCGUUUCCCAUCUGUUCCAUGUGUACUCAUUGACAACUUCAUUCCAAGACAUCUGUACUCGAGUAUUAGUAAAGAUUAUGGAGGGUAGAGGUACCUCAACCCUCCAUAGUAAAGAUGUUCUCUGUAAGCGCGCAUGUUGAUUAUCGCGGAAGGGAGGUUAUCAAAAGAGCAGAAGUAUGAGGUAAUAUCAAAAUAUUUUAAUUUAAAAUUAUUCUCUUUGAAAUCAAAUAUUUUUAUUGAAUAAUAUAAUUUCUUUAAACAAUUUAUAAUAAUAAUUUUGAUUUUUUUAUAACAUUUACAGAAUCAACUAAAGAACCCUUAGGUUGUCCCAAUGCUUUAUUGAAGAACUAACUAACUUACUAAAGAGACCACAGAUAAAUCCUGAUAUUUUGACAAGAUAUUUAUAUUGUUAAAAAAAAUAAAUAAAAACCUCUAUUACAAUAGCUCAUACCUUCACUUUUGAACACUUAUAAUUAAUUUGAUAGGACAUAUAACAACAAGUUGAACAUCAAUCUUACUAAAUUUAUGAAUAUCUAUAAUCAUUUUUUAUUGGAUUUAGAAAAAUAAAAUCAUUUUAUACUGUAUGUGUAAAGUCACCGAAUUUAUCAAAGUAUAUAUUUUACGUAUGGAAAGUAAAAAAAAUAUAAACGAUCUCAUCCGCACAUAGAAUUCACAUAAUUUUUAAUUUUUAGAAGUUUUAUGAAAGCUAGGAAUUAAAAGUGUGUGCAGAUAAUUAAAAUUAGAGCGAUCAUAAAGCACCCUCAGCGCUUUCGCACUUGAGGUGUGCAAUUAACGUAACAUUAUCUUCACAGAUGAAAUGGCCAGAUACGCAAACAAUUCAUAAUUGUUUAAUAAUAGAUCAUACAUGCGCAAUUCAUAAAUCUAUGGUAGUGGGGGUAAUUUCCGACGUCUAUCCUCUUACUGGGACCACAGUACUCUAGCUCAAUCAUUUCUCUAAGACGAUGAUUAGAUUCACCGAGUACUUUAAUAUAUAAAUAUAUAAAAAACAUCAACUUAAAAUUGAUUUUGUUCUCGUUAGUCAUUUUAAAGUUAAUAGUCCAUAAGAGUCUAUGAUCAAAUUUUUGUCGUUAUUUAUCAAAUCGUAAUCAAUUAUAGAGUGAGUAUAAGAAUUUAGCAUUACUAAUAUCAAGUCAUUAUUUAGUUGUUUCACAAACUUAUUUAUCCCGCGAUGAUUGUAAAUUUUUUUUUUUUUUCGUAUUAUACUUAGUGGGAAUCGUAUGUGUAGCCAAAUAUUUUUUUUCUUGAUCGAAUGUUCUGGAAAGAUAUUCAUAAAGGCGCGAAAAAUUCCUUUUUCGUCUUUUGUUCUAGCUUGCUUUAAUUCUGCAUAGCUCACUCUGUGAUUCCGUUACACGGCAUUCAAUUAUAUUUGGAAAGCAGUAGACGUGUUACCGUGUUUCAAACAAACUUGAUUGUUUCAAAUGUUCAUUGUAUGAAAAGGAAAAAAAAUAAAACAAUAAUUAUGCAUAUUAGAAAAGUAGCGUUGAUUAAAAAACAAAAAUAUCUAAGUCGAUUGAACAAGUUUAAUUACAAAAAUUGUGAAUUAGUAAAAUGUAUAAUUUUAUAGAAAAUGACACAUUUAUAUUGUUUAAUGCAGAUUUAAAUUUAACUACAAAAGUAUUGGUAAUUACUCAUUUAACUAAAAUUUUAACAAUAAAUAAAACGAAUUAUGCUGCGUAUUCUAUUUCAUGAUACUUAUCCGUACUUGUUGAUAUACUGAGCGUCACUUCAAGCAUACAGGUUACUACUUAGAGGCAACACUAGUUUCAUUAUGUAUUCUGCGAUUAAUUGUUUGUAUUAAAUGCUUUUUUUUCAACAUUUAUACUGAUUUAAAUGUUUAACUAUUUCAAUAACAAUAAGAAAACAAAAAGAAUAGUUAUUAUUGAUGAAAUUGUCAUUGACUAGUUUGUUAAUAAUCUAAACUAAUGUGUAUAUAAUAUAUUCUUUCGAUUUACAUAAUAUUUUUAAUUUUUUUAAUACAGCUAUCGAUAUACCUCAAGAAUAAAAAAUAGUUCAGUACUCGAGGGUCAUUUUUAUUUCGCUUUAAUAGAUCGUGGACUUAUACUGCGUCAAAAAAAUAACCUGUUGACUAGGACUAAAUUUUUUUGAAAUGAAAUUUUUUUUAAUAGUAUAUAAGUUUAUAAUAGUGUCAUUUAAAAUAUAUAUCUAUGAUAAAAUUUUUCAAAAGGAAAAUAAUUGUAUAUAUUAUUAUAUUUAUUAAAUCAACUAAUUAUAGUUAUCAGUUAGUUUUUGGUCAUGGUAGUUGUCGGGCAGCGUGCAAGAUCUCACCGGCUUGUUCAUGAUGGUUUUGUCUUCCAUUUAGACUCCCGGUACGGCAACAAAGUUCAGAAAAGAUACCUUUGUUCUUCUCGAAUCUCAGUGGACCACUGUCGUGUUAAGUUGUGGACCAAUGCAGACGGCGGAACCGAUCAAGAUGGUGAUCAUAAUCAUAUCAGGCCAAAUAUCCAAGAGCGAGGGCCUGUGAUUAGAGAAUUACAGCAAGAAGCACGAGAAAGUGAUCUUUUACCAAAUCAAAUUGUGAACAAUGUUAUAAGGCGAAUUCCGAUCGCUGGUAAUUCCAUUUGACCUCACGCUGGAAGACAAAUUAUUCACCGCCAGCGGCGUAUGCUACGUCCUCCUCUGCCACAUGUUUUUGAAGAAUUAGGACCAAUGCUAUUGAAUUAUGAAUUCACAAGGCAAAUUUACCAGGAUAACCUUGUAUGUGAAGCUGGGUCAAUCGCCUGCAUUGUCGGACACAAUGAUAUAUUGCAGAGACUCGGUCAAGUAAACGAAUGGCAUGUUGACGGAACAUUUCAGUGCGUACCUCAGCGGCCUCGAGCAGCCCAACUUUUGAUCAUAAAAUUGCGACGAAUGGAUGUGGGAAUCCCAGCUCUGUAUAUUUUGUGCAGUCGCAGAACUAUACACAAAUGUACACAGCAAUAUUGAGGUGAAUAUUGCUACGUGUCCCGGCAGUGUACCAAAAUCUCCAAACAAUUGUAUCCGAUUUUGAAGUGGCUAUUUUGAAUGCAGUGAAAACUUGCAUGCCAUGGGUUCAGCGAAGAGGCUGUUGGUUUCAUUUCGCUAGGGCUGCAACAAGAAAGUGGAAUUCAUUACGACUUCAUGGCCGUGAUGCACCAGAACAUCGGAUUCUAGAAUUAAUCUGGGUGCUCCCUUUAGUUCCAGCUAAUAGAUUUGCGGUAGCGUUGGAGAUUAUUACCAAUUUAUAAAGGCCAUUGGAAGCCGAUAAUGACAACUACUGUUUGUUUCACCGGUAUCUUGAACGAUUUUGGUUACCAUUAGCAGAUAUAAUAUCUGUUUUCAAUACACCAUGGCGAACUAAUAACAUCACAGAGGCAAUAAAUAUGCAUUUGAUAUCUAAGUUGGGGCCACACCCUGCUUUUUUUCAAUUUUUACGUAAAUCAUUUUGUAUUGUUUGUUUUAUUUUUGACAUAAGGUAAGAGACCCUAUACCCGACCACUCGUGUAUUUGUAUAUCAUAUUUACUGUAUUCUAGUAAAUAUAGAUUUAUAAAUUCACGGAGUGCUCAGAUGUUAUUUCCCUGCUCGGGUACAAGGUCUUUUGCCUUACUUUCUCUUUAUUAAAACUUACUUUAAUCAUUAUAGAUUAGACUGAUUCAAAAAAAUCGACUAAUUUUUUUUUCUUCAUUAUAUCGAAAAUAUUGUUGGAAAUGACGAAAAUAAAAUACUGUGAAAGU